Molecule: ribosomal RNA, 253 nt
Filed under: uncultured bacterium
Lineage: Bacteria
Description: partial 16S ribosomal RNA
Rfam family: Bacterial small subunit ribosomal RNA
Source: RNAcentral
UACGGAGGGUGCGAGCGUUGUUCGGAAUCACUGGGCGUAAAGGGCGUGUAGGCGGUCCGCUAAGUCUGAUGUGAAAGCCCGGGGCUCACCCCCGGAAGUGCAUUGGAAACUGGCGGACUCGAGUCCCGGAGAGGAGAGUGGAAUUCCUGGUGUAGCGGUGAAAUGCGUAGAUAUCAGGAGGAACACCGAUGGCGAAGGCAGGUCUCUGGGCAUUAACUGACGCUGAGGAGCGAAAGCAUGGGGAGCGAACAGG